GGAGGCACGAGAGCAUGAAUGGUACGGGACAUUCGGGUUCGAUUCCGGAGAGGGAGCCUGAGAAACGGCUACCACAUCUAAGGAAGGCAGCAGGCGCGCAAAUUACCCAAUCCUAAUACAGGGAGGUAGUGACAAGAAAUAACAAUACAGGACUUUUUGGUUUUGUAAUUGGAAUGAGUUAAGUAUAAACCCCUUUACAAGUAUCAAUUGGAGGGCAAGUCUGGUGCCAGCAGCCGCGGUAAUUCCAGCUCCAAUAGCGUAUAUUAAAGUUGUUGCAGUUAAAAAGCUCGUAGUUGGAUUUCUGUUAAUAAUUUAUAUAAAAUAUUUUGAUGAAUAUUUAUAUAAUAUUAACAUAAUUCAUAUUACUAUAUAUUUUAGUAUAUGAAAUUUUACUUUGAGAAAAUUAGAGUGCUUAAAGCAGGCAUAUGCCUUGAAUACUCCAGCAUGGAAUAAUAUUAAAGAUUUUUAUCUUUCUUAUUGGUUCUAAGAUAAGAAUAAUGAUUAAUAGGGACAGUUGGGGGCAUUUGUAUUUAACAGUCAGAGGUGAUUUUCUUUAAAA
RNAcentral lists this ribosomal RNA (559 nucleotides) under Cryptosporidium parvum. RNAcentral's name for it is "SSU rRNA". It matches the Rfam family "Eukaryotic small subunit ribosomal RNA", at positions 338 to 926 of the family's 1831-position model. Lineage: Eukaryota; Apicomplexa; Conoidasida; Eucoccidiorida; Cryptosporidiidae. The record is from RNAcentral.